This 465-nucleotide ribosomal RNA is filed under the name Vreelandella stevensii. RNAcentral describes it as "partial 16S ribosomal RNA". It matches the Rfam family "Bacterial small subunit ribosomal RNA", at positions 338 to 795 of the family's 1533-position model. Lineage: Bacteria; Pseudomonadati; Pseudomonadota; Gammaproteobacteria; Oceanospirillales; Halomonadaceae. The record is from RNAcentral.
CCUACGGGGUGCUGCAGUGGGGAAUAUUGGACAAUGGGCGAAAGCCUGAUCCAGCCAUGCCGCGUGUGUGAAGAAGGCCUUCGGGUUGUAAAGCACUUUCAGUGGGGAAGAAAGCCUUGGGGCUAAUACCCUCGAGGAAGGACAUCACCCACAGAAGAAGCACCGGCUAACUCCGUGCCAGCAGCCGCGGUAAUACGGAGGGUGCGAGCGUUAAUCGGAAUUACUGGGCGUAAAGCGCGCGUAGGCGGUCUGAUAAGCCGGUUGUGAAAGCCCCGGGCUCAACCUGGGAACGGCAUCCGGAACUGUCAGGCUAGAGUGCAGGAGAGGAAGGUAGAAUUCCCGGUGUAGCGGUGAAAUGCGUAGAGAUCGGGAGGAAUACCAGUGGCGAAGGCGGCCUUCUGGACUGACACUGACGCUGAGGUGCGAAAGCGUGGGUAGCAAACAGGAUUAGAUACCGCUGUAGUC